AGUGAACGCUGGCGGUAGGCCUAACACAUGCAAGUCGAACGGCAGCACAGUAAGAGCUUGCUCUUACGGGUGGCGAGUGGCGGACGGGUGAGGAAUACAUCGGAAUCUACUUUUUCUUGGGGGAUAACGUAGGGAAACUUACGCUAAUACCGCAUACGACCUACGGGUGAAAUCAGGGGAUCUUCGGACCUUGCGCGAUUGAAUGAGCCGAUGUCGGAUUAGCUAGUUGGCGGGGUAAAGGCCCACCAAGGCGACGAUCCGUAGCUGGUCUGAGAGGAUGAUCAGCCACACUGGAACUGAGACACGGUCCAGACUCCUACGGGAGGCAGCAGUGGGGAAUAUUGGACAAUGGGCGAAAGCCUGAUCCAGCCAUACCGCGUGGGUGAAGAAGGCCUUCGGGUUGUAAAGCCCUUUUGUUGGGAAAGAAAAGCAGCAGGUUAAUACCCCGCUGUUCUGACGGUACCAAAAGAAUAAGCACCGGCUAACUUCGUG
Molecule: ribosomal RNA, 492 nt
Filed under: uncultured bacterium
Lineage: Bacteria
Description: partial 16S ribosomal RNA
Rfam family: Bacterial small subunit ribosomal RNA
Source: RNAcentral